GAUGAACGCUGGCGGCGUGCCUAAUACAUGCAAGUCGAGCGAAUGGAUCAAGAGCUUGCUCUUAUGAAGUUAGCGGCGGACGGGUGAGUAACACGUGGGUAACCUGCCCAUAAGACUGGGAUAACUCCGGGAAACCGGGGCUAAUACCGGAUAACAUUUUGAACCGCAUGGUUCGAAAUUGAAAGGCGGCUUCGGCUGUCACUUAUGGAUGGACCCGCGUCGCAUUAGCUAGUUGGUGAGGUAACGGCUCACCAAGGCAACGAUGCGUAGUCGGCCGGAGAGGGUGAUCGGCCACACUGGGACUGAGACACGGCCCAGACUCCUACGGGAGGCAGCAGUAGGGAAUCGUCCGCAAUGGACGAAAGUCUGACGGAGCAACGCCGCGUGAGCGAUGAAGACUUUCGGGUCGUAAAACUCUGUUGUUAGGGAAGAACAAGUGCUAGUUGAAUAAGCUGGCACCUUGACGGUACCUAACCAGAAAGCCACGGCUAACUACGUGCCAGCCGCCGCAGUAA
This 515-nucleotide ribosomal RNA is filed under the name uncultured bacterium. RNAcentral's name for it is "partial 16S ribosomal RNA". It matches the Rfam family "Bacterial small subunit ribosomal RNA", at positions 28 to 523 of the family's 1533-position model. The record is from RNAcentral.